UCAGACGAUGCGUCAUGCAUAUCAAUAAGCGGAGGAAAAGAAACUAACAAGGAUUCCCCUAGUAACGGCGAGUGAAGCGGGAAGAGCUCAAAUUUGAAAUCUUAAAGGGUUUCCCUUUACGAAUUGUAGUUUAAAGAAGUGUUUUCUGUUGAGGUUUUGGUAAAAGUUCUUUGGAAUAGGACAUCAUCAGAGGGUGAGAAUCCCGUAUUUGACCUUUACUUUCAACUUUGUGAUACACUUUCAAAGAGUCGGAUUGUUUGGGAAUGCAGUCCAAAAUGGGUGGUAAAUUUCAUCUAAAGCUAAAUAUUGGCGAGAGACCGAUAGCGAACAAGUACCGUGAGGGAAAGAUGAAAAGAACUUUGAAAAGAGAGUUAAACAGUACGUGAAAUUGUCAAAAGGGAAGCGUUUGACACCAGUGUUGUUUUUCUGAAAAUCAAUUAAAGAACUGUUUAUGCUAAGCUGUUCAGGACUUUAUCAGCUAACUGUUUAGUUUUGAGCUUUUCUUUAAUGCACUUUUCAGUUAACAAGUCAACAUCAAUUUCUUUUGCUGUAAAAAAGCUUGAGGAAGGUGGCUUGAGAUUCGUCUUAAGUGUUUAUAGCCUCUUGCCUAUGCAGUCGGAGAGAUUGAGGUCUGCAGCGUAGAUCCUUCGGGGCUAAAUGCAUUUGUGCUAAGUUAUAGCAUUUUAUAGACAACUUGUUGACUAUGAUUUGUCUUGUAGCUUACUCGCUUAUGUUAUUUUACCUACGCUUAGGAUGUUGAGCGCAUGUCUCUCUCU
Molecule: ribosomal RNA, 776 nt
Filed under: uncultured Neocallimastigales
Lineage: Eukaryota; Fungi; Neocallimastigomycota; Neocallimastigomycetes; Neocallimastigales
Description: partial large subunit ribosomal RNA
Rfam family: Eukaryotic large subunit ribosomal RNA
Source: RNAcentral